UUUCCGUAGGUGAACCUGCGGAAGGAUCAUUACUGAGUUUUGAGUGAAGUUGUUCUGGUCUUUCGGGGCAAGUGAACGCUUCUCUCAAUCCAUCUUACACCUGUGCACCUAUCGGGGAAGACUUGGAUUUAAGUUGGGUCACGACGGCGAUCUACAGUCUCCUCUUUAUACCAAAUAACAGUUUUAGAAAGUCUUUUUUGCUUGAUGCAAACUUAAAUAGAUACAACUUUCAGCAACGGAUCUCUUGGCUCUC
Molecule: unclassified non-coding RNA, 253 nt
Filed under: plant metagenome
Description: partial contains small subunit ribosomal RNA, internal transcribed spacer 1, and 5.8S ribosomal RNA
Source: RNAcentral